This 253-nucleotide ribosomal RNA is filed under the name uncultured bacterium. RNAcentral's name for it is "partial 16S ribosomal RNA". It matches the Rfam family "Bacterial small subunit ribosomal RNA", at positions 524 to 776 of the family's 1533-position model. The record is from RNAcentral.
UACGGAGGAUUCGAGCGUUGUCCGGAUUCACUGGGUUUAAAGGGUGCGUAGGUGGGUUGGUAAGUCAGUGGUGAAAUCCCCGAGCUUAACUUGGGAACUGCCAUUGAUACUAUCAGUCUUGAAUACCGUGGAGGUCAGCGGAAUAUGUCAUGUAGCGGUGAAAUGCUUAGAUAUGACAUAGAACACCAAUUGCGAAGGCAGCUCACUACACGAAUAUUGACACUGAGGCACGAAAGCGUGGGGAUCAAACAGG